UGGAAAACAAACAACAGACUCGAUUCGUGAAUGGAUUUUAAUACUAACUUCGUGACAUUGUAAUGUGCCGUGCGGAAGACUAUUGAAGUUUCUCAGCCAUUUUAAUUGGUUGGGAUGGACAUUAUUGGGAAACCUACUGAAACCAACAGCGGACAUCAGUAUAUUUGUGUUUUUAUUGACUAUUUCACAAAAUGGCCACAAGCACACCCUUUGAGGUCGAAAUCAGCCAAGGAUGUGACAAACUGUCUCAUAAAAUUUGUCCACCAGUUCGAAGCACCAAAAAGGAUUCUCAGUGACCAAGGCAAAAAAUUUGUCAAUUCUCUCAACAGAAGGGUAUGCAGAUUGUUAAACAUUAAAAGAAGCCUCUGCUCGUUCUAUCACCCACAAACAAUGGCUUGGCAGAGAGAAUGAAUGGCACCAUUCAGAGAGGCCUCUGUAAGGUUGUUGGUGACCAUCCAGAAUUGUGGGUUGAGUAUCUGGAUGCUGUGAUGUUUGGACCUUGGAACUAAAAAGCAAAUGACCACCAAAUACUCACCAUAUUACCUGAUAUUUGGCAGAGAGGCUCA
Non-coding RNA from Maylandia zebra (zebra mbuna), 566 nucleotides. The record is from RefSeq and is a predicted model, not a curated record. Lineage: Eukaryota; Metazoa; Chordata; Actinopteri; Cichliformes; Cichlidae.